UACGUAGGGUGCAAGCGUUGUCCGGAAUUAUUGGGCGUAAAGAGCUCGUAGGCGGUCUGUCGCGUCGGCUGUGAAAACUCGGGGCUCAACUCCGAGCUUGCAGUCGAUACGGGCAGGCUAGAGUUCGGCAGGGGGGACUGGAAUUCCUGGUGUAGCGGUGAAAUGCGUAGAUAUCAGGAGGAACACCGGUGGCGAAGGCGGCUACCUGGCCUAAGACUGACGCUGAGGUGCGAAAGCGUGGGGAGCGAACGGG
RNAcentral lists this ribosomal RNA (253 nucleotides) under uncultured bacterium. RNAcentral describes it as "partial 16S ribosomal RNA". It matches the Rfam family "Bacterial small subunit ribosomal RNA", at positions 524 to 776 of the family's 1533-position model. The record is from RNAcentral.